AUAUCAGUCAUGCAUAGCAUAUCAAUAAGCGGAGGAAAAGAAACUAACAAGGAUUCCCUUAGUAACGGCGAGUGAAGCGGGAAGAGCUCAAAUUUGAAAUCUUCAAGGUUCUACCUUGACGAAUUGUAGUUUAUAGAAGUGUUUUCUGUUAGUGGAGUGGCAAAAGUUCUUUGGAAUAGGACAUCAUAGAGGGUGAGAAUCCCGUAUUUGGUCAUUCCUCCUAGCUUUGUGAUACACUUUCAACGAGUCGGAUUGUUUGGGAAUGCAGUCCAAAAUGGGUGGUAAAUUUCAUCUAAAGCUAAAUAUUGGCGAGAGACCGAUAGCGAACAAGUACCGUGAGGGAAAGAUGAAAAGAACUUUGAAAAGAGAGUUAAACAGUACGUGAAAUUGUCAAAAGGGAAGCGUUUGACACCAGUGUUGUUUUUCCGAAAAUCAAUUACGAAUGUUUUGAUUUUAAGAAGUUAUGACUUCAUCGGCUUGCUCCUUUCUUUAUGAAACUUUCUUAAUGCACUUUUCGGUUAACAAGUCAACAUCAAUUUCUUUUGUUGUAAAAGGGUAUGAGGAAGGUGGCUUUCUUUUCGGAGAAAGUGUUUAUAGCCUUGUACCUCUGCAAUCGGAGAGAUUGAGGUCUGCAGCGUAGAUCCUUCGGGGUUAGAUACAUUUGUGCUAAGUUAUAGCUUUUCAUAGACAACUUGUUGACUAUGUUUAGUCUUGUAGCUUACUCGCUUACGCUAUUUUACCUACGCUUAGGAUGUUGAUCUCUCACAGUCGAGC
This 774-nucleotide ribosomal RNA is filed under the name uncultured Neocallimastigales. Its description in RNAcentral is "partial large subunit ribosomal RNA". It matches the Rfam family "Eukaryotic large subunit ribosomal RNA", at positions 22 to 645 of the family's 3401-position model. The record is from RNAcentral. Lineage: Eukaryota; Fungi; Neocallimastigomycota; Neocallimastigomycetes; Neocallimastigales.